AGUAAUACAUCGGAACGUGUCCUGUAGUGGGGGAUAGCCCGGCGAAAGCCGGAUUAAUACCGCAUACGCUCUACGGAGGAAAGGGGGGGAUCUUAGGACCUCCCGCUACAGGGGCGGCCGAUGGCAGAUUAGCUAGUUGGUGGGGUAAAGGCCUACCAAGGCGACGAUCUGUAGCUGGUCUGAGAGGACGACCAGCCACACUGGGACUGAGACACGGCCCAGACUCCUACGGGAGGCAGCAGUGGGGAAUUUUGGACAAUGGGGGCAACCCUGAUCCAGCAAUGCCGCGUGUGUGAAGAAGGCCUUCGGGUUGUAAAGCACUUUUGUCCGGAAAGAAAACGCCGUGGUUAAUACCCGUGGCGGAUGACGGUACCGGAAGAAUAAGCACCGGCUAACUACGUGCCAGCAGCCGCGGUAAUACGUAGGGUGCA
Molecule: ribosomal RNA, 431 nt
Filed under: Burkholderia sp. Z4_31_5
Lineage: Bacteria; Pseudomonadati; Pseudomonadota; Betaproteobacteria; Burkholderiales; Burkholderiaceae
Description: bacterial SSU rRNA
Rfam family: Bacterial small subunit ribosomal RNA
Source: RNAcentral